Molecule: ribosomal RNA, 510 nt
Filed under: uncultured bacterium
Lineage: Bacteria
Description: partial 16S ribosomal RNA
Rfam family: Bacterial small subunit ribosomal RNA
Source: RNAcentral
GACGAACGCUGGCGGCGUGCUUAACACAUGCAGGUCGAACGAAGAGCGAUGGAAGCUUGCUUCUAUCAAUCUUAGUGGCGAACGGGUGAGUAACGCGUAAUCAACCUGCCCUUCAGAGGGGGACAACAGUUGGAAACGACUGCUAAUAUCGCAUACGAUCUAAUCUCGGCAUCGAGGAUAGAUGAAAGGUGGCCUCUACAUGUAAGCUAUCACUGAAGGAGGGGAUUGCGUCUGAUUAGCUAGUUGGAGGGGUAACGGCCCACCAAGGCGAUGAUCAGUAGCCGGUCUGAGAGGAUGAACGGCCACAUUGGGACUGAGACACGGCCCAGACUCCUACGGGAGGCAGCAGUGGGGAAUCUUCCGCAAUGGACGAAAGUCUGACGGAGCAAUGCCGCGUGAGUGAUGACGGCCUUCGGGUUGUAAAGCUCUGUUAAUCGGGACGAAAGGCCUUCUUGCGAAUAGGGAGAAGGAUUGACGGUACCGGAAUAGAAAGCCACGGCUAACUACGUG